This 441-nucleotide ribosomal RNA is filed under the name uncultured bacterium. RNAcentral's name for it is "bacterial SSU rRNA". It matches the Rfam family "Bacterial small subunit ribosomal RNA", at positions 20 to 507 of the family's 1533-position model. The record is from RNAcentral.
UGGCUCAGAACGAACGCUGGCGGCAUGCCUAACACAUGCAAGUCGAACGAGACCUUCGGGUCUAGUGGCGCACGGGUGCGUAACACGUGGGAAUUUGCCUCGGGGUAUGGAAUAACUCAGGGAAACUUGAGCUAAUACCAUAUAAUGUCUUCGGACCAAAGAUUUAUCGCCCUGAGAUAAGCCCGCGUAGGAUUAGCUAGUUGGUGGGGUAAAGGCUCACCAAGGCGACGAUCCUUAGCUGGUCUGAGAGGAUGAUCAGCCACACUGGGACUGAGACACGGCCCAGACUCCUACGGGAGGCAGCAGUGGGGAAUAUUGGACAAUGGGCGAAAGCCUGAUCCAGCAAUGCCGCGUGAGUGAUGAAGGCCUUAGGGUUGUAAAGCUCUUUUACCAGGGAUGAUAAUGACAGUACCUGGAGAAUAAGCUCCGGCUAACUCCGUG